RNAcentral lists this ribosomal RNA (459 nucleotides) under uncultured bacterium. Its description in RNAcentral is "partial 16S ribosomal RNA". It matches the Rfam family "Bacterial small subunit ribosomal RNA", at positions 338 to 795 of the family's 1533-position model. The record is from RNAcentral.
CCUACGGGGGGCAGCAGUGAGGAAUAUUGGUCAAUGGGCGGGAGCCUGAACCAGCCAAGUCGCGUGAAGGAAGAAGGUACUUAGUAUUGUAAACUUCUUUUGUCGGGGAACAAAGGCGGAGACGCGUCUCCGGAUGAGUGUACCCGAAGAAAAAGCAUCGGCUAACUCCGUGCCAGCAGCCGCGGUAAUACGGAGGAUGCGAGCGUUAUCCGGAUUUAUUGGGUUUAAAGGGUGCGCAGGCGGGAGAUCAAGUCAGCGGUAAAAUGUCGGGGCUCAACCCCGGCCGGCCGUUGAAACUGGUUUUCUAGAGUUGGAGAGAAGUAUGCGGAAUUCGUGGUGUAGCGGUGAAAUGCAUAGAUAUCGCGCAGAACCCCGAUUGCGAAGGCAGCGUGCCGUGCCGCCACUGACGCUGAGGCACGAAAGCGCGGGGAUCGAACAGGAUUAGAUACCCGAGUAGUC